RNAcentral lists this ribosomal RNA (379 nucleotides) under uncultured bacterium. Its description in RNAcentral is "bacterial SSU rRNA". It matches the Rfam family "Bacterial small subunit ribosomal RNA", at positions 790 to 1167 of the family's 1533-position model. The record is from RNAcentral.
GUAGUCCACGCUGUAAACGAUGAGGACUAGAUGUUGGUGCGCGCGAGCGCAUAAGUAUCGAAGCUAACGCAAUAAGUCCUCCGCCUGGGGAGUACGGCCGCAAGGUUAAAACUCAAAGGAAUUGACGGGGGCCCGCACAAGCGGUGGAGCAUGUGGUUUAAUUCGAUGCAACGCGAAGAACCUUACCUGCCCUUGACAUCCACGGGACCUGGCAGAGAUGCUGGGGUGCCGAAAGGAACCGUGAGACAGGUGCUGCAUGGCUGUCGUCAGCUCGUGUUGUGAGAUGUUGGGUUAAGUCCCGUAACGAGCGCAACCCUUGUCCUUAGUUGCCAACACGUAAAGGUGGGGACUCUAAGGAGACUGCCGGUGAAGAACCGGA